This 1037-nucleotide ribosomal RNA is filed under the name Bacillus pumilus. RNAcentral's name for it is "bacterial SSU rRNA". It matches the Rfam family "Bacterial small subunit ribosomal RNA", at positions 40 to 1079 of the family's 1533-position model. Lineage: Bacteria; Bacillati; Bacillota; Bacilli; Caryophanales; Bacillaceae. The record is from RNAcentral.
CGGCUGCUAUAAUGCAGUCGAGCGGACAGAAGGAGCUUGCUCCCGGAUGUUAGCGGCGGACGGGUGAGUAACACGUGGGUAACCUGCCUGUAAGACUGGGAUAACUCCGGGAAACCGGAGCUAAUACCGGAUAGUUCCUUGAACCGCAUGGUUCAAGGAUGAAAGACGGUUUCGGCUGUCACUUACAGAUGGACCCGCGGCGCAUUAGCUAGUUGGUGAGGUAACGGCUCACCAAGGCGACGAUGCGUAGCCGACCUGAGAGGGUGAUCGGCCACACUGGGACUGAGACACGGCCCAAACUCCUACGGGAGGCAGCAAUAGGGAAUCUUCCGCAAUGGACGAAAGUCUGACGGAACAACGCCGCGUGAGUGAUGAAGGUUUUCGGAUCGUAAAGCUCUGUUGUUAGGGAAGAACAAGUGCAAGAGUAACUGCUUGCACCUUGACGGUACCUAACCAGAAAGCCACGGCUAACUACGUGCCAGCAGCCGCGGUAAUACGUAAGUGGCAAGCGUUGUCCGGAAUUAUUGGGCGUAAAGGGCUCGCAGGCGGUUUCUUAAGUCUGAUGUGAAAGCCCCCGGCUCAACCGGGGAGGGUCAUUGGAAACUGGGAAACUUGAGUGCAGAAGAGGAGAGUGGAAUUCCACGUGUAGCGGUGAAAUGCGUAGAGAUGUGGAGGAACACCAGUGGCGAAGGCGACUCUCUGGUCUGUAACUGACGCUGAGGAGCGAAAGCGUGGGGGAGCGAACAGGAUUAGAUACCCUGGUAGUCCACGCCGUAAACGAUGAGUGCUAAGUGUUAGGGGUUUCCGCCCCUUAGUGCUGCAGCUAACGCAUUAAGCACUCCGCCUGGGAGUACGUCGCAGACUGAAACUCAAAGGAAUUGACGGGGGCCCGCACAAGCGUGGAGCAUGUGGUUUAUUCGAAGCACGCGAAGACUUACCAAGUCUUGACAUCUCUGACACUCUAGAGAUAGGGCUUUCCCUUCGGGACAGAUGACAGGUGUGCAUGAUUGUCGUCAGCUCUGUCGUGAGAUGUUGGG